Long non-coding RNA from Mus musculus (house mouse), 3384 nucleotides. RefSeq annotates it as predicted gene, 32768. Lineage: Eukaryota; Metazoa; Chordata; Mammalia; Rodentia; Muridae. The record is from RefSeq and is a predicted model, not a curated record. The transcript is spliced from 2 exons.
AGGCGGUGGACUCUCUCUGAGGGUAAGGGAUAGAGAAAUCCAGGAUUAGUCAGCUUGUGAGAGGAAUCGUGAGCUCAUGUCAGGCCACACUCUGCAUAUUGUGGGUGAAUUAAAGUCUACACACUUUACUUUUUAAAGUCCGGCCCUAAGAAUGAGACAGCUGCACCUUUGCAGCCCUGAUGGCAGGAGAAGCACAUUGCCCAAUCAGGUCCCUCUGCCAAGAAUCUGGAGGCAGGGGGUGGGGAGCGAGUGUCUGCCAUCCCGGGAAGCCUGGAUGUUGGCUGAACGUGUCUCUUUACAGAGGGCAAGCACUCUUGGAAAAAAUUGGCUUCAAUGAAUCCAAGGUGCAAGUCCUGGAGUCAUGGUUGCUUCAUGAAUGUUCGAAGCCACUCUUAGCUGGAACCUCAGUUACUGGGGGUCUGGGCCAUGCUGGGGAGGACAGAUCCCCAUUACAGUCUGUAGCUAGAGCCCCUCGGAGGCAUGAACUGUCCCUUGGGGAUUACAGGCUCUGUGGACCAUCUGGAUUGGCUGCCCAUGUCUCAAGGCCUAAGCUGUUGUUUGCCAAGGCUGCUAGGGACCAGGCAUGGGUCUUCCCUCGGGGCAACUCCAGGCCAGGCCAGGAAGAUGGUCCCUAACACCCUCCUCCUUCCCAUUGGCAAACCUCCCUCUACUCCUUUCUUUUCUUUCUCUUUGGGUUUUAGACAAAAUCAUCUAUAGCCCAGGCUGACCUCUAGUUCACAGUAUAGCUGAGGAUGACUCUGGAUUUCUGAUCACCCUGCCUCUAAGCUCUGAGCAAUGGAGUUACAGGUUUGUGUCACCAUGCCCAUGUGUGUCCACAUGUUUAUGUGUGCCCCCAACAUGGGAGGGUCAGAGGACAAUCUUUGGUGGUGUUCCUCGGGUGCCAUCUACCUUUUUAUUUUUAGACAGGGUCUCUUUGCUAAACAGAACUCACCAAGUAGGCUAGUUCAGCUGACCAGUGAGGUCCAGGGACCUACCUGUUCCCCUCUGCUGGGAUUACAAGCCCUCUCAUAACAUCGGGUCUAGGGAUCAAAUCCAUAUCCCCAUACUUGGAAGGCACGUACCUCACUAAGCUAUCUCUUUAGCCUAUAUGGCAGUUUUUUGGGGUGCUAGGAAUCAACCAAGGCCUUCAUGCGUGCUAGGCAAGUACCCUGACCACUGAGCUAUACCUUUAUUAUUUCCGUUUCUCUUUUGGUACUGGAUGAACACAAGGCCUUGUGCUAAGGCCAGGCUCUGCCACUGAGCCCUACCUCAUCCUCAAGCACCAACUAAUACCCCAGCCUCCACCACUGAGCUGUACCCUAACCCCCACCCCUGAGUUAUACCCCAGCCUCUACCACUGAGCCAUUCCCCAGCACUCACUCCUGAGCUGUACCCCAGCCCCCACCACUGAGCUGUACCCUAGCCUCCAUCACUGAGCUAUACCCCAGCCCCCACCACUGAGCUAUACCCCAGCCCCCACAACUGCGCCGUACCCUAUUCUCCACCACUUAGCUAUACCCCAGAACCCCUUGAGCUUAUCCCAGCCCCCACCCCUGACCUAUAUACCCCAGCACCACUGAGCUGUACCCCAGCCCCCACCCCUGAGCCAUACUCCAGCCUCCGAGGGCUUAUUCUUGAACCUCAAAUACCCUUUAGUCAUUGCUACAUUCAUUCUGGAGCUCCUGUUUUUCUUUGUCCUAAUGUUCUCCGACUGGGUGUUGCUAGUGUAUCGUUCUGACCCUGGCCAUUUUCCUGACCUCUUCUCCCCUCUGUUAUUAGUUCUUCAGUUGAUUCUCUUGAGCUUUCUGAAUAAACAAUCCUAUCAUGUACAAAUAAUGACAGCAAUUUCUCUUCCUUUUCAAAUGUUACACUUCUUUUUCUCUUUUAAUGUAAUAAUGUAUUGGCUUAAACUUCCAGAACAAUGUAACAUAAUUAUGGUAAUAGCAGGCUUCCUUGUCCCACUGUGACUUAAAUAUGAAGGCCCCCCGAUAGUGUUUUAUUACCAAGAAUGAUGCUGAUGUUGGCUGCAGAUGUAUUUUUUUUAUUGUGUCAAGGAAAUUUUUAUUUUUAUUUUUACUGAGUUUUAGCAGAGCUGAUGUCCAGUCUACUAAAUUCAUUUACAGUGUCAGUUAGGAUGAUCAUUUAAUCUUUCCCUUUCUGUUAAUCGACGUGAUUAAUUACAUAAACCUGCUUGAUUCCUGAUAUGUCUUUCUUAUCAUGUCUGACACAAGUGUUUGUGGAGUGGAGAGGAGACUGGUUGAUCCGGGGUCAGGGUAGGGAACUCAGAUGCCCUCUAUAUUGUGCCUGACUUCCCCGGGCUACACUGUUCUCUGGUUCCAGAGUGGAAUCUCAGACAAGCCCACUGCAGUGCUCAGGAGGGCUGGAUGGGGAGAGUUAGUCCCAGAGUAAUCAGACCAGACAAUUUCCUCCAGGGGUUCUUUGCUGCAUUUAGCAGAAGACACAAGCUCUUGGUAUGUUGCCUAAGCCCUUUACAACCAACCUUUUUACCCAUAUCUUUCUUCUCAUCCCCAACUUGUACCCCUUAACUGUUCAGAACUCCUGACAGGCGGCAAAGGCUCUGGCCCUCUUACAGAGUACCUUCCCUGUUGGAAUACCGUCCCUCCCUGUUUCCUUCCUCCCAAGGGAGGACUCAGUGUCACUAUAAGGAGGGGGCUUCCCAACUAGAGGAUGUCAGACCCUGUUCCACAGGCCUCUUGCUUACCUGAGAAGGGAGGCCCCUGUGUUUCAGGAACCCCAGGGUGCUGAGGAUCACUCUAGUCCCUCACAGUCCCAGCUCUGAGCUCAGAGUCAUCUCCAGGACAAACGCUCAACCAGCCCCAAGUGGAACAUAUUGUUUCCAAUAGUGGGCACACCCUCCUUGCAUCCCCUCCACAGGGCCGUGACUGGCCAUGCUCACUGUCCCAGCUCCAACAACAGAGAAUCCUGGGAGGCCUGAAACCCUGGCACGCAGCUGCAGUUCCCUGGAGCCUCUUUAGAAAACGCAGCCGGCCUUGUUUCCUUCUCAUAAACAGCGACUGAGCACAGCAUCAGGCCCCAGGGGAGACUGUUCCCCCAAAGCUGCUGCCAUUGGAGAUGCAGGAAGGGGGGACAAGUGGGCCCAAGAGGAACCAGAUGAUUCUGGAUCAUGUCAGGAGGAGCAGGAGGGAUGCCAUUCUAGAUGUCUGGUUCAGUGAGACAGAGAUUUCAACCUGGAUCCUGGUGUGACCGCGUAAAACAACUAGUGCAUGUGGAAUACAUAGCAGGCAUGUUACAUGCUGUGCACAUGCACUCAAGGCCCCUGAUGCUGCCCUGCCAACCUAUUAUUUUCUCCACUGUGCAGAUGCUUGAAGUGGAGAUUAAAGUUUUGCUGGCUUCACAAAAUGA